CAACAUGUUCGAAUUUGAAACGAAUAGUAGGUAUGUUAAUGUUAUAAAACAUUUAAUGACCGAUUUUUUUUUCUAAAAAAUUUGUAUUUGCUAUUACUGAUUAAUGUUUUAUGAAUUAAACACGAAAUAAAUAUGGCUGCGUUUAACGGAAAUUACUGUAAAAUUAUUCACUACAAUAACGCAGUAAUAGCAACUUAACGAAUACCGAAAAGAAAUACACCUUAUGUAUUAAUGUGUAAUGAUGUUUUUCUCGUCAUUUAUUUAUUUAUUUUAUUUAUUAGUGGCUAUUUCAAAUAUUUCCGAAAAUGUAAGUAGGAAAAUUAUAAAAAAAAUUCACAAUAUGUAUUCCGACCUAUAGAUUACGAUAUUAACAUAACAGCGAAAAGUCCAUAAUAGCACAUUACCGACUUAUUGCAUGGGGGCGUCGAUAUGUAUAUUAUUUAAGUAUGUGUAAUAUUAGUUCAUGCAAGGAUUCAUUGAAGCCAAUUGGAAAUAAAACGACAACUCUUGAAAUA
Molecule: long non-coding RNA, 515 nt
Organism: Melitaea cinxia (Glanville fritillary)
Lineage: Eukaryota; Metazoa; Arthropoda; Insecta; Lepidoptera; Nymphalidae
Exons: 2
Source: RefSeq, a predicted model, not a curated record